This 560-nucleotide ribosomal RNA is filed under the name uncultured archaeon. RNAcentral describes it as "bacterial SSU rRNA". It matches the Rfam family "Archaeal small subunit ribosomal RNA", at positions 1 to 561 of the family's 1478-position model. The record is from RNAcentral.
UUCCGGNUGAUCCNGCCGGAGGNNACUGCUUUCGGUGUUCGACUAAGCCAUGCAAGUCAUAUGUUCCUCGUGAACAUGGCAUACUGCUCAGUAACACGUGGAUAACCUGCCCUUGGGUCUGGGAUAACCCCGGGAAACUGGGGAUAAUAUCGGAUAACGCAUAUGUGCUGGAAUGCUUUAUGCGUAAAACGGAUUCGUCCGCCCAAGGAUGGGUCUGCGGCCUAUCAGGUAGUAGUGGGUGUAAUGUACCUACUAGCCAACAACGGGUACGGGUUGUGAGAGCAAGAGCCCGGAGAUGGAUUCUGAGACAUGAAUCCAGGCCCUACGGGGCGCAGCAGGCGCGAAAACUUUACAAUGCGGGAAACCGUGAUAAGGGAACACCGAGUGCCAGCAUCAUAUGCUGGCUGUCCAGGUGUGUAAACUACAUCUGUUAGCAAGGGCCGGGCAAGACCGGUGCCAGCCGCCGCGGUAACACCGGCGGCCCGAGUGGUGACCGUUAUUAUUGGGUCUAAAGGGUCCGUAGCCGGUUUGGUCAGUCCUCCGGGAAAUCUGAUAGCUUA